RNAcentral lists this ribosomal RNA (460 nucleotides) under uncultured bacterium. RNAcentral's name for it is "partial 16S ribosomal RNA". It matches the Rfam family "Bacterial small subunit ribosomal RNA", at positions 338 to 795 of the family's 1533-position model. The record is from RNAcentral.
CCUACGGGUGGCUGCAGUGAGGAAUAUUGGUCAAUGGGCGCAAGCCUGAACCAGCCAAGUCGCGUGCGGGAUGACGGUCCUAUGGAUUGUAAACUUCUUUUGUCGGGGAGCAAGGCCCGCCACGUGUGGCGGGUAGGAGAGUACCCGUAGAAAAAGCAUCGGCUAUCGCCGUGCCAGCAGCCGCGGUACUACGGAGGAUGCGAGGGUUAUCCGGAUUUAUUGGGUUUAAAGGGUGCGUUGGCGGACGGUUAAGUCAGUGGUAAAAUGUCGGUGCCCAACACCGGCCUGCCGUGGAAACUGGUCUUCUUGAGUGAGCGGGAAGUAUGCGGAAUGCGUGGUGUAGCGGUGAAAUGCAUAGAUAUCACGCAGAACUCCGAUUGCGAAGGCAGCAUACCGGCGCUCAACUGACGCUGAGGCUCGAAGGCGUGGGGAUCGAACAGGAUUAGAUACCCUUGUAGUC